AGGAUAAACGCUGGCGGCGUGCCUAACACAUGCAAGUCGAACGUCCUUUCCCGCAAGGGGAAGGGAGUGGCGGACGGGUGAGUAUCACGUGGGUUAUCUGCCUUUAGGUGAGGAAUACCGGCGAGAAAUCGCCGACAAUACCGCAUAUCUUUCGUAAGAAAGAAAGCUUCGUAAGAGGUGCCUGAGGAGGAGCCUGCGCCCGAUUAGUUGGUUGGUGGGGUAAUGGCCUACCAAGACGACGAUCGGUAGCUGGUCUGAGAGGAUGAUCAGCCACACUGGGAUUGAGAACGGCCCAGACUCCGUACGGGGGGCAGCAGUGAGGAAUUUUCGGCAAGUGGGGGCAACCCUGACCGAGCAACGCCGCGUGCAGGAUGACAGUCUUCGGAUUGUAAACUGUCUUUUCGUCGGGGACGAGUAAGGACGGUACCCGAGGAAGAACGCCCCGGCUAACUACGCGCCAGCAGCCGC
This 468-nucleotide ribosomal RNA is filed under the name uncultured bacterium. RNAcentral describes it as "SSU rRNA". It matches the Rfam family "Bacterial small subunit ribosomal RNA", at positions 26 to 518 of the family's 1533-position model. The record is from RNAcentral.